Molecule: small nucleolar RNA, 131 nt
Filed under: Stegodyphus dumicola
Lineage: Eukaryota; Metazoa; Arthropoda; Arachnida; Araneae; Eresidae
Description: small nucleolar RNA SNORA57
Rfam family: Small nucleolar RNA SNORA57
About the family: U99 belongs to the H/ACA class of snoRNAs which are thought to guide the sites of modification of uridines to pseudouridines, the target for this family is unknown.
Source: RNAcentral
CCUCCUUACGUUGGCACUCUGUCACCUCUGUGGUGAUGAUGUGAAUGCUUUGGGGAGGAAAAUUAAUCGAGGAAUAUGCCUUCGGUGUCAAAACUAGUGUUUUGGUUCCAUCCUCAAAGUCCUGUAUAUAA